Molecule: unclassified non-coding RNA, 269 nt
Filed under: plant metagenome
Description: partial contains small subunit ribosomal RNA, internal transcribed spacer 1, and 5.8S ribosomal RNA
Source: RNAcentral
UUUCCGUAGGUGAACCUGCGGAAGGAUCAUUAAUGAGUUGUCAUGGGGUUCGAUGCUGGCAGCCAAUUUUUGGAUGCAUGUGCUUGCCCUAACAAUCAUCUUCCAAACACCUGUGCACAUUUUUGAGGGAGUCUUGAGUUGGUUGCCGCUCUUGGGUGAUUUUCGCACAUUCCCUUAAAUCAUUAUACGCUAUUAACGAUGUUGAACGUGCUCUGUGCCGCAAGGCUAUUAAUACAAUACAACUUUUAACAACGGAUCUCUUGGCUCUC